CAGUCGCCGCGGUAAAACGAAGGGUGCAAGCGUUAAUCGGAAUUACUGGGCGUAAAGCGUGCGUAGGCGGUUUGUUAAGUCUGUUGUGAAAUCCCCGGGCUCAACCUGGGAAUGGCAAUGGAUACUGGCAGGCUAGAGUGUGAUAGAGGAUGGUGGAAUUCCCGGUGUAGCGGUGAAAUGCGUAGAGAUCGGGAGGAACAUCAGUGGCGAAGGCGGCCAUCUGGAUCAACACUGACGCUGAGGCACGAAAGCGUGGGGAGCAAACAGGAUUAGAUACCCCUGUAGUCCCUGUCUCUUAUAC
This 301-nucleotide ribosomal RNA is filed under the name uncultured bacterium. Its description in RNAcentral is "partial 16S ribosomal RNA". It matches the Rfam family "Bacterial small subunit ribosomal RNA", at positions 509 to 807 of the family's 1533-position model. The record is from RNAcentral.